This 790-nucleotide long non-coding RNA is filed under the name Elaeis guineensis (African oil palm). RNAcentral's name for it is "long non-coding RNA (EGUI_LNC038532)". Lineage: Eukaryota; Viridiplantae; Streptophyta; Magnoliopsida; Arecales; Arecaceae. The record is from RNAcentral.
UAGAUCAUAGGCUCCCAUUAAAUUGGAUGAUAAUGGAUCCAUUAGUAUGAUGAUCAUUGGAGGUCCAAAGGCCUAGUACUCAUCUGCUAUUAGAAUUAUCAUUCAUAAUAUGAUGACUCAAUCGAAUCUCUUUAGCGAGUGGUCAGAUUAGCCGGCCAAAAUCGGGUCUGAUCAUUUGAUAGUUAGAUUUUUGAGUAUGAUCAUGUUAAUAGUUAGACCUGAUCAGGACUUGCAGAGAAGACCAAAGUCAACUGAAAAGUUACUUGGGAUGAAAUUAAUUACUAAAAAUUAUUUGAAGAAAUAAUUAGUUAAGAACCUACCUAUAGAUGUACAUGGGUGAGCCGGCCAAAGUCGGACUCAUGUGCAGGCUGUGUGAAUUUUAGUACCCGCUAAAGAAUUAGAGUAAUUUCUUGGAUUGGAGGUAAAGGCUACCAAUUUGACAAAAAUAAUGAGAGAACCUUUAGACUAAAGUCCAAGUGUUUAGGCUUAAUCAAUUCAUAAAUAUUGAGAUCUUGUGUUUUUCUUUCAGUUAUGAUUAGAUAUUCGUUGCUCCAUUCACUAUUUGAUAGUGACUUAUUUAUAGGAUCCAACUUUGAUAGAUGAUAUCGAAGGUUACAAAUAGUUUUAGAACACAAAUAUAAAUCCAGCACCUGAUGUUCCCACAUCCAACACACAUGAUGCGAUCAAAGGCACUAAUCAGAAGUGGCCAAAUGAUCAUAUCAUUGUGUGGUAUUUUUUGAGAGCAGUAAAAAAUAUGAAUUUAGUUGUAAAUUCAAUAAUACUCAGUGGG